CAAUUUUCUUCCUCUUCACUCUUUCAGUGUUAAAUUUUUUAUUUUUCUGUCGAUCCUCUAUCUAUUUUGUUUAUUGAUGUUCUUCUGCUGCUAUAUGUAAUAAGUUAAGAAAAGGUAGGUUAUAGGGUUCUUCUUCUUUUUUAUUUUUCUCUGUUUUCCUCUAUUAUGAGUUUGUUUAAUGUUACUUCUUUGCACUCAUGAAGUGUUGCACAUAUAAAUUUUACUUUAGUUUAUACUUUUAUUUCGAAAUUUGAAAUUUUUACCUGAGGUUUGAAAUUGGGGAUUUUUAGAGCGGAAUCCAUCUCUUACUUACAGACCCAUCAAACAAUUGAAAAGUCUCCACAUGCACAUAGAGAUUUUUUGGGAGUUCAAGUCAAACAAAAAGGCAACGAUGAUAAAGAAACAGAUGCGUGUGAUCUAUGAAUAGCUCGUAUUGACAAGUCAAAAGUCACUGCAAUUUAAGUGUCUCCAAACACUAAACAAAGCUGAAUUUACCUAAGUUGAGGUUCCAUUGCUAUUUUAUCAGGUAUGGAGUUGCUUCCUAUCUUAUUCCCUCCUAUGGUUAGUUUCGACCGAACUUGAAUAAUAGGAAUUAUUAAUACUUAAUAAGGAACAGAUUAACUGAGUCACAUAUGACAUGUUAUCAUAUUAGGUUGCUUCUUUUCAUGUUUCUGCUUCAUCGUGAUUUGCAUCUCUAUUUGUAGUGAGGGAGACCUCUCAUAGGGUUGAAGUGUGGGUGAAUACCUGUAAUUUUCUCUUGCAUAAACAGGAGAACACUGAGAAAUGUAAGUGAAAGAUCUAGAGUAUUUAAUCAAGGGAUAACAAAGUUUUCCUGCAUCAUAUUAAGUAAUUUCUUCUAUUCUUUCUUUAUUUUCUAGAUCAACAGCUCCAGUCUUAUUAGAAUGUGAUUAAAUUCAGUAGAGUCCCUUUUAUCUUCAAGAAAGGCAUACAUGUGGCAAUGUGCAUUUAUGUUGAGAACUCUAUAUCUGUUUUUUAUCUGUGGUUUUUGGUAGCAUUUAUUAUUUUGGCAGACUUUACUUAAUCAUUUUCUGCACAAGAAUUGGUUGAAUUUUGCUCAUGGCAUGAUGAGGUGUGAGGUUGAUGAUGAAUUUGAGUGUGCGUUAUAAAUGUUGUAAAGUUUUACUAUUUGUUUUACUUUUUUAUUUUCAGACGACAUGGCUGAUAUAGGCUGUAUAUACCUUUCUGAUUCAUAUUCAGUAAAAGUUAGAAUUGCUACCAUUUCAAGCAGUUUAUACAUAUAUCUAGAUCAUUACUAAUCAAGCAUUCACAACCAUAAAGAUGUAACUCUUAAACUCAUUUAGGUAGUCUCUGUAGAAAUAUUGUCAGCGUUGAUUUAAUUGUAUGUUACGAAGAGAAAAGCCUCAUGUAACAGGUUUUAAUGUCCUCCCAAUUCAAAUGCUACCCGACACUGUCAUGUCAGCUUGAUGCGCUACAACAGAUACUCUGUCUCUUUUUCCUUCUGCAGCACCAUUGUCUGUAUAGAUAAAUGAAUUGGUCCAUUUUGAUAAGCCUCUUAGUUUUGUAAAUGUCUAUGAUCAUCAACUUCUAUUCGCAAGGAGGGUGUGCAGAUCUGUCCAUCCGUCCUUCAAAAUCAUUCAAGGUACAGUUUAUAUCUCUUACAAUUCAAAGAGUUAAGUUGGUUAAAUUUUUUGCGUCUUCGCUUUGCUGCAAAUCCUAUGAGUCAAGCUUAUUUUAAUGGUCUACUUACUUGCAUUAGUUGCUGGCAACACCAAACAAAGAUGACAUAUAUCUUAAAAAUCAAUGAAGAUAUUAUUUGAGAAAUAACUAAAUAUCUUUUGACAGUAAUGUAAAUCUGCCUGUUAUCACAUGGUACAUGUCUUUAGGUUAUCAAAAAAUGACAUGGUAAAGGUCUUUAGCCCAGUUUCUAUGAAGUAAAUAAAGCUCACACGUUGGUGUUGUUAGCAAAAGACCAAGCUUGGAGUCCUAGACACACACACACAAAUUAAAUCACCAAGUUAUGAAUUUGCUGCUAAUUGCUCUUUUUUAUUUUUUAAUUUGUGAGGGAAAAAAGUGUUGUGUGUGUGAGGGGGGGAGGCGGUCAAGGGAUUUAAGCUUUGUAUUCCAAAAUAAGUUCUUACAAGAUAUAAAUUGCACAAAACAUCAGUAUUUUAUGUCAUUUUGAUUAAAAAAUAAACUUAUGAGUUAUUGGCAUCCGGAAAAUUGGUGCAAAGCUAUGUUCUCUUGAUGAGUUAUAAUAGAAAUUAGAUGAGCCAUGACAUUUCAAUUUGUGUGUCCAAACUAAUUUUGGAUCAAUUACUUGCAAAUUGCACUUCUAAUUUUCUAUGUGUUUUAGCGAAAAGAACAAUAUCAUAUUUGUUAAAAUGCUUUACCGGUGGUUUUUGGCUCAGAACAGCCUUGCCUUUCAGAAAGACGGGCAAGGGUCUCUCUUACUUUGUUAAUGAGAUAGCAAAUAAUAAGUUUAGGAUCACUGAAAUAUGUUUCAGUGUUUUUUUUAGGAAUAUAUUUCAAUGUUUUUGGUUGAAGAUAUUUCAUGUUAAUUGCAUUCUAAUCGAUCUAUGAAGUUAUAUUAACUCUUGCAUUGCGUUUGUUUCAACAUAUGCAAAGAAAUUGAAGUGUCUUGGACCUGUUGAUACUCCCUGUAGCAGUGGCAGAGCCAGGAUAUUCACUAAGGGGUUUCAAAAUAUAAAAAGGUAAACACACGAAGAAGACAAAUGGGGUUCAAUGUCUACUGUAUAUACAUAAAAAAUAAUUUUAACCAUGUAUACACAGUGUAUUUUUCCGCCGAAAGGGGUUCGGAUUAACCCCCUUGGCCCUUCCUCUCUCUGCCCCGGCCCUGUAGGAGCAUUGUGCCGUACUGCCAUUGAACAUUGAAAAGUUUCUCUAUCGACCUACAAAUCUCUUGGAAGAUGAUUGCAAUUCCAUGUACCCUAUGGAGAGAGCUGCCACACUUUUAACUUCCCUUCCCCCCACCCUUUCCCCCCUAUAAGUUGUAGAUUGACGUUAUACUUUUAGCUCAAUGUAAUACUUAGGCAUUUCCUACUAGUGGACACUUUAUGUCGUGUUUCAUUAGAAGUUGUAUAAGAAUGACUUGUGUAAACAAGCUUUGGAAUUGUUUUGCUAUUGGUACUUCAACCAUGACGUGUUGGGCCAAUUGGUUCCUACCAAUGGUUGCUUCCUCUUGAUCUUAUAAAUUCAUCAGAGAUCCUCCUG
Long non-coding RNA from Lycium barbarum (goji berry), 3213 nucleotides. RefSeq lists it as uncharacterized. NCBI's taxonomy places the organism in Eukaryota, Viridiplantae, Streptophyta, Magnoliopsida, Solanales, Solanaceae. The record is from RefSeq and is a predicted model, not a curated record. The transcript is spliced from 2 exons.